Molecule: ribosomal RNA, 497 nt
Filed under: uncultured bacterium
Lineage: Bacteria
Description: partial 16S ribosomal RNA
Rfam family: Bacterial small subunit ribosomal RNA
Source: RNAcentral
GACGAACGCUGGCGGCGUGCCUAAUACAUGCAAGUUGAGCGAUGAAGCUUGGUGCUUGCACCAAUUUGAAGAGCAGCGAACGGGUGAGUAACGCGUGGGGAAUCUGCCUUUGAGCGGGGGACAACAUUUGGAAACGAAUGCUAAUACCGCAUAACAACUUUAAACAUAAGUUUUAAGUUUGAAAGAUGCAAUUGCAUCACUCAAAGAUGAUCCCGCGUUGUAUUAGCUAGUUGGUGAGGUAAAGGCUCACCAAGGCGAUGAUACAUAGCCGACCUGAGAGGGUGAUCGGCCACCUUGGGACGGAGACACGGCCCAAACUCCUACGGGAGGCAGCAGUAGGGAAUCUUCGGCAAUGGACGAAAGUCUGACCGAGCAACGCCGCGUGAGUGAAGAAGGUUUUCGGAUCGUAAAACUCUGUUGGUAGAGAAGAACGUUGGUGAGAGUGGAAAGCUCAUCAAGUGACGGUAACUACCCAGAAAGGGACGGCUAACUACGUG